UACGAAGGGUGCGAGCGUUGUUCGGAAUUACUGGGCGUAAAGCGCACGUAGGCGGCGCGUCAAGUCAGGGGUGAAAGGCCUGGGCUCAACCUGGGAACUGCCUUUGAUACUGGCGUGCUGGAGUACGGGAGAGGGUGACAGAAUUCCCAGUGUAGAGGUGAAAUUCGUAGAUAUUGGGAAGAACACCGGUGGCGAAGGCGGUCACCUGGCCCGGAACUGACGCUGAGGUGCGAAAGCGUGGGGAGCAAACAGG
Molecule: unclassified non-coding RNA, 253 nt
Filed under: uncultured Alphaproteobacteria bacterium
Lineage: Bacteria; Pseudomonadati; Pseudomonadota; Alphaproteobacteria
Description: contains 16S-23S intergenic spacer region
Rfam family: Bacterial small subunit ribosomal RNA
Source: RNAcentral